CCCCAUACAUCACAAAAAAUAAGAUCCAAAACACUUGAACUUUUAAAAGUAGAAGAUAAUAAAUGUAACUUUGAAGAUUUUCCAACAAAACAAGAAUCACAAACAGUACUGGAAACAUUAUUUUGUAAAGGUAAAUGAUAAGUAGAAAGCAUUGACUUCAAAAGUUGUGGAUGAGGAUGCCCCAAUCGUUGAUGCCAAGUGGAAGUUGUAACCGCGGAAGCUUGAUGGAAUACAGACCGCCAUUACUUGGACCCGUGAGGAGGAUAGUGUGUGUAGACUUGUCCUUCACAGCAAAAUGAGUAGCGUGAAAUUAAAAAUAAACAUUAUUAUCAUGGCAAAAACGUUGGACAGAAAGGAGAUUUUGUUUAAUUUCUGGAACAUGAAGUAUGUUUUUAAGAUUAAAGGUUUUUGUCGGUGAGGAAAAACGAGUGGAACCAAUGUGUAAAAUGGGAAGUCCCUUACCGUUGCCAACAUGAAGGUUGUCACCCCCAUAAUAGGCUUCUGAGUUAUCGAGGCUGGAGAGAUUCGGUGCUACGUGGUGGCUCGAUCCGGUGUCGUUGAGCCAGUUGGUGAAUGCCUGUUGUGAGCUGUAAUCAGCAAAGUUGGCAGAUGGUUGUUGUCUUGAGCGUAUGGUUGAAGGAUCACGGUUGGGACAUUGAGACGGUAUGUGACCGAUGCCACACCUGUUACAAGUACCAUACACAGUAUUUUGAUUAGAAGCCCAACUGAAUUGAUUUCGAUUACCUCCUGUGUUGGAACGAUUGUUGGAGCUGUUAUAAUUGCCACGUCCUCCACGGUUGUUUCCUUGUCUAUUGUUUGGGUUGCGGUUUGUGUUGCGGGCUGUAUAGUUGGCCUGUGGGGAAGGGGAAGAAGGAAAUUGUAGUUGUAACCCUAGCUGGGCAGCUAGCUGUUGGACAGCCUUAACUGCAUCAGAAUGAGGCAGUGAACCGGUCGGGGCAGCAGUGGCCGAAGCAACGGGUUCACGGGCUGCAGUAAAGGCUUGUGUGGGAGGCAUAGCGGCUGCUGUUUUCUUU
This 1034-nucleotide long non-coding RNA is filed under the name Helianthus annuus (common sunflower). Lineage: Eukaryota; Viridiplantae; Streptophyta; Magnoliopsida; Asterales; Asteraceae. The record is from RNAcentral.